RNAcentral lists this long non-coding RNA (189 nucleotides) under Dermacentor andersoni. RNAcentral describes it as "uncharacterized LOC126530767". Lineage: Eukaryota; Metazoa; Arthropoda; Arachnida; Ixodida; Ixodidae. The record is from RNAcentral.
CCCCUCUCUCUCUCUAGCUCUCUCAUAAGCAGCCGUGGGGAUUUACAUCACAUUUGCGAUGUGAUGAGACAGAAAUAGAGAAAGCCCAAUCAGGGUCAAACUCAAGGAAUGCUCGGUGCUCAAGAUCCUGCCCACAGUGGGAGCCAUUUACGCCCCUGAAGCAAAUAAAGCAUCACCGUUUUUCGACGA